Molecule: ribosomal RNA, 253 nt
Filed under: uncultured bacterium
Lineage: Bacteria
Description: partial 16S ribosomal RNA
Rfam family: Bacterial small subunit ribosomal RNA
Source: RNAcentral
UACGUAGGGUGCAAGCGUUAAUCGGAAUUACUGGGCGUAAAGCGUGCGCAGGCGGUGAUGUAAGACAGAUGUGAAAUCCCCGGGCUCAACCUGGGAACUGCAUUUGUGACUGCAUCGCUAGAGUACGGCAGAGGGGGAUGGAAUUCCGCGUGUAGCAGUGAAAUGCGUAGAUAUGCGGAGGAACACCGAUGGCGAAGGCAGCCCCCUGGGCUGAGAUUGACGCUCAGGCACGAAAGCGUGGGGAGCAAACAGG